RNAcentral lists this ribosomal RNA (253 nucleotides) under uncultured bacterium. RNAcentral describes it as "partial 16S ribosomal RNA". It matches the Rfam family "Bacterial small subunit ribosomal RNA", at positions 524 to 776 of the family's 1533-position model. The record is from RNAcentral.
UACGUAGGGUGCAAGCGUUGUCCGGAAUUAUUGGGCGUAAAGAGCUCGUAGGCGGUCUGUCGCGUCUGCCGUGAAAACCCGAGGCUCAACCUCGGGCCUGCAGUGGGUACGGGCAGACUAGAGUGCGGUAGGGGAGAUUGGAAUUCCUGGUGUAGCGGUGGAAUGCGCAGAUAUCAGGAGGAACACCAAUGGCGAAGGCAGAUCUCUGGGCCGUAACUGACGCUGAGGAGCGAAAGCAUGGGGAGCGAACAGG